UGAAACGCGUUGAGAGGAAACAGUACGCUAGUUAAUUUUGUCAGAGAGUUCCAGUGUGGUGAGAUGGAAUAAAAAUUAGUUAGUCGAACAUCAUCCUUGAGCGAUUACUUGAAAGCUUUGCCGGUAAAGUAAAUUGGAUGCACCCAUUAUAGUGCCCGCGUAUGUUUGUACGUUUGAGGUCUAGCUAGUAAUAGCUAGAUAAAAUUAGGUGGUAACACGGUGUUUCCCGUCCUAUCA
RNAcentral lists this non-coding RNA (237 nucleotides) under Paucilactobacillus wasatchensis. Its description in RNAcentral is "Lactobacillus wasatchensis T-box sequence". It matches the Rfam family "T-box leader". Rfam says of the family: Uncharged tRNA acts as the effector for transcription antitermination of genes in the T-box leader family. T-boxes are found upstream of many aminoacyl-tRNA synthetase genes and some amino acid biosynthetic genes usually in Gram-positive bacteria. Lineage: Bacteria; Bacillati; Bacillota; Bacilli; Lactobacillales; Lactobacillaceae. The record is from RNAcentral.